AAUUGGUAUGAUCAUCAUUCAUCAGAUGCUAUUUGUCAAAUUCAUUCCAGCGAGCCAUUCAAUUUCAUUAAACAAAGAUUAAAUAUAAGGUGAAGUCUCAAGUCCGCCACUCGAAAGCAUACUCGUAAUCUUGGCUCAAAGCAGACAAAGCGUAUAGUUAAGGUAUUUACAAAUACAAGAAAUGGAUCUAAUGGUGAAUCAUUUGUCUUCACUGGUCUAAAGGACGACUGGACGAAAUUGGAACUCUCACUGACCUGAUUAAAUUACACAUAUGACAAGUGUGGAAUUAAAACAUGCAAUUUUUUAGGAUUUAAUACAAAUACCCAGUAGCUUAAAUCUGUAUCUAUUCUUCUUCUUCUUUUUCUUCUUCUUCUUCCUCUUUCAAUGUUAAAACUUAAGAUUAAGAAAGAGAGAUUGAUUACCUAAUUUUGCUUCUUCAAUCUUCUUCUUCCUCUUUCAAAAUAUUGUGAAUCGGAGUCCAGAGAUUGGAAUGAAGCUGAAGAAAUCGCAUCGUCGUUGCACACACAGGUUCGUUCGCACUUCACAGGGCUUGAGAAUCUGAAGAAGCCGGGAACUGGAAGUCUGGAACUGGAAGGGAACAUUUGGGAUUUUUUUAAUGUUACUUGGG
RNAcentral lists this long non-coding RNA (628 nucleotides) under Olea europaea subsp. europaea. Lineage: Eukaryota; Viridiplantae; Streptophyta; Magnoliopsida; Lamiales; Oleaceae. The record is from RNAcentral.